RNAcentral lists this ribosomal RNA (235 nucleotides) under Staphylococcus hominis. Its description in RNAcentral is "partial 16S ribosomal RNA". It matches the Rfam family "Bacterial small subunit ribosomal RNA", at positions 567 to 801 of the family's 1533-position model. The record is from RNAcentral. Lineage: Bacteria; Bacillati; Bacillota; Bacilli; Caryophanales; Staphylococcaceae.
GCGCGUAGGCGGUUUUUUAAGUCUGAUGUGAAAGCCCACGGCUCAACCGUGGAGGGUCAUUGGAAACUGGAAAACUUGAGUGCAGAAGAGGAAAGUGGAAUUCCAUGUGUAGCGGUGAAAUGCGCAGAGAUAUGGAGGAACACCAGUGGCGAAGGCGACUUUCUGGUCUGUAACUGACGCUGAUGUGCGAAAGCGUGGGGAUCAAACAGGAUUAGAUACCCACGUAGUCCAACCA